CGCGUGGGUAACCUGCCUCAUACAGGGGGAUAACAGUUGGAAACGACUGCUAAUACCGCAUAAGCGCACAGGAUCGCAUGAUCCGGUGUGAAAAACUCCGGUGGUAUGAGAUGGACCCGCGUCUGAUUAGCCAGUUUGGCAGGGUAACGGCCUACCAAAGCGACGAUCAGUAGCCGACCUGAGAGGGUGACCGGCCACAUUGGGACUGAGACACGGCCCAA
RNAcentral lists this ribosomal RNA (221 nucleotides) under uncultured bacterium. RNAcentral describes it as "partial 16S ribosomal RNA". It matches the Rfam family "Bacterial small subunit ribosomal RNA", at positions 114 to 334 of the family's 1533-position model. The record is from RNAcentral.